AGUGAAAGCAAUUUGGGAACCGACUUUGGAUCCCCGGUUAGCCCCUCCCCAAGUCACUGGGUGGCCUUUGGCCAUUACUUAGACUUCCUAAUAGUUUGUAUCCUCAUCUAAACUGAGAAAAGCCAGGGUCUGGGAAUGACAUCUGACUGUCACCGGCUGGCUGGGCCUGACCCCCUGGAGCUCCAGCCAGGAUCAUAGCGCUGGAAUAACAGUCUGGAGCGCCGACUCGCAGGCCUGGUUGACUCAUACAGAGAUGACUUGGCAGACAGUCAUGAGAUGGUGCUUCCAGCUCAGCCACUGACCUGCUGUCCAGCAGAGGAAGCAGCUGGGGAAGCACCGUCGUAUCCAGGAGAAUUUUGUUCAAUAGUAAGUACCGAGAGUCAGCAAGAUGGCUCAGCGAGUUAAGGCGCCUGCCACCAAGCCUGAAGACCUGAGUUGCAUACCUCGGACCUGCAUGGCAAGAGAGAACUAGGUCCUGCAAGUUGUCCUCUGACCUCCACACACAUGCUGUAGCAUGUGCAUGUGUGCACAUGCAGUAAACAAACAAAUAAAUGUAAUUUAAAAAAUAACGGGGGGCUGGAGAGAUGGCUCAGAGGUUAAGAGCACUGGCUGUUCUUCCAAAGGUCCUGAGUUCAAUUCCCAGAAACCACAUGGUGACUCAUAACCAUCUAUAAUGAGAUCUAGUGCUCUUUCUGCCCUACAGGCAUACAAGCAGUCUGAAGACUGUAUAAAUAAUAAAUAAAUCUUUGCCAGGUGGUGGUGGCUCACACCUUUAAUCCCAGCACUCACGAGGCAGAGGCAGGCAGAUGUUUGUGAGUUCAAGGUCAUCGUGGUCUACAAGUUCCAGGACAGCCAGAGCUCCACAGAGAAACCCUGUCUCAAAAACCAAAUGAUAAUAAUUAUAAUUGGUACUGAGAAAAACUUAGUUCUUCUUUUUAAAACCCACAGAUUUCUCUAAUCAAAAGAAAUGUGUAUCCUGACUGUUUUCAUCUGGGCCAUCAAAACCCUUCAGAGCUAGCAUUAGGCUGUCUGGAGCAAGCAGGCUGAACAUCUGAUUUCUAAUUUUUUUUUCUUCCAGUGUUUUCCUGUUUUAUUCAUAUUCCAUUGGUUUGGUUUCAUUGUCUGGAGUUUUCUUUUUUCUUUUCUUUUCCUUAUUUUUUUUUUCGGUUAGGCCACAACAAAUUCUUUUUAAAACUACUUUGUGAUAUAAAUAAAUUGCACAUUCUAUUCGAGUGACGAGUAGAGUAGCAGAUGGUUUGUGAAUUGGGCAAAAUGGGGAAGAAAAGGAAUAAAUGAGGACUCUCAACACCAUUUAAGAUAAAUAACUCUGUUUGCUUGUUCUGGGUAGUUUUAACUGACAAUUUGACACAACCAAUAAUCACUUGAGAAGAGCGUCUCAAAUGAAGAAAUAUCUAGAUCAGCUUGGCUGGCAGGGUGAGGUGGGGGUGGGGCGGAUCUUGAUUGUGAACUGACAAAGAAAGACACAGGCCAGGGUGAGCAGUAUCAUUCCCUGAGUAGGGGACCAAGAACGGUGUAAGAAAGGAGAAAACAAGCUGAGAGCAAGCAAGCAAAGACGUGUUCGUUUUCUCUUUGCUCUUGAGUAUAGAUGUGAUGUGACUAGCUGCUUGGAUCCUUGCCUUGACUUUACUCAAGUGAUGGAUGGACUAUGACCUGAGAUUGAAAGCCAAAUAAACUCUUUCUC
This is a long non-coding RNA of Meriones unguiculatus (Mongolian gerbil), 1702 nucleotides long. RefSeq lists it as uncharacterized. The record is from RefSeq and is a predicted model, not a curated record. The transcript is spliced from 3 exons. Lineage: Eukaryota; Metazoa; Chordata; Mammalia; Rodentia; Muridae.